Molecule: transfer RNA, 76 nt
Filed under: Deltaproteobacteria bacterium
Lineage: Bacteria; Pseudomonadati; Myxococcota; Myxococcia
Description: tRNA-Lys
Rfam family: tRNA
About the family: Transfer RNA (tRNA) molecules are approximately 80 nucleotides in length. Their secondary structure includes four short double-helical elements and three loops (D, anti-codon, and T loops).
Source: RNAcentral
GGGCCAUUAGCUCAAUUGGCAGAGCAACUGACUCUUAAUCAGUAGGUUCACAGUUCGAUUCUGUGAUGGCCCACCA